AGCAGUAGCCACGGGAAUACGGAGGGUGCAAGCGUUAAUCGGAAUUACUGGGCGUAAAGCGCACGCAGGCGGUCUGACAAGUCAGAUGUGAAAUCCCCGGGCUUAACCUGGGAACUGCAUUUGAAACUGUCAGGCUGGAGUCUUGUAGAGGGGGGUAGAAUUCCAGGUGUAGCGGUGAAAUGCGUAGAGAUCUGGAGGAAUACCGGUGGCGAAGGCGGCCCCCUGGACAAAGACUGACGCUCAGGUGCGAAAGCGUGGGGAGCAAACAGGAUUAGAUACCCCAGUAGUCCCUGUCUCUUAUAC
This 303-nucleotide ribosomal RNA is filed under the name uncultured bacterium. RNAcentral describes it as "partial 16S ribosomal RNA". It matches the Rfam family "Bacterial small subunit ribosomal RNA", at positions 507 to 807 of the family's 1533-position model. The record is from RNAcentral.